Solanum stenotomum is the source of this 159-nucleotide long non-coding RNA. RefSeq lists it as uncharacterized. NCBI's taxonomy places the organism in Eukaryota, Viridiplantae, Streptophyta, Magnoliopsida, Solanales, Solanaceae. The transcript has 2 exons. The record is from RefSeq and is a predicted model, not a curated record.
CGAAGUUUUCAUGGAGACGAACUCAAUUCCUCCUUCAUCAGCUUCCACAACAAACGGAAAGAAUUUUGGUACAAAAAACAAUUCACCUUCUUCCACUUUAGUAUCCAACACAACCUUACCAAACAGUCCCACAAUUACAACACGUCCACUCCCUUUCGU